GGAAAUUCAUCGUCAAAGUAUUUGUCAUUAAUACAAAUUAUGAUAUGGUAAAUUAUCCUUGUGGUUAGUAUACUGCACGUGUUUGUAUUAUUUUGUCAGAUAUGUCGGAGUGCACUUCUCUUCUAGUAGAACGUUGCUACCCAUCUUAUUCUCAUUGAGAAAAGGUGCACCUAGAGCGAACACGUUGGGACCCGAAAGAUGGUGAACAAAGUGUUCCUGAUCAGCUGUUCGACGGUAUUCGUAAGGUAAUGAGUCGCAUUUUUUUUUGCUUUAUCUCCUUUACAUGUGCGAUUAAUACUUGGCAAUAUGGAUUUAGUGCUAUCGCUGAUAUUAAUCAAGUGUUUGUAAACGGUAUUCUUUAAGUGACUUUUUACCGGUCUGCAACGCUACUGCUUUGGGUACUUUCGAGACCCCUCUUGAAACACGGACCAGAGACUCUAACGUGUACGCAUCUCUUUGAGAUUUUUUUAAAACAAAUCUAAGCGCAUAAUGAAAGUGAAUAUUGUCAUAUGAUAUUUAGGGGAAUAUGAUUUGCACCACGAUGUAUUUUCACAUUCCCGGGGCA
Molecule: ribosomal RNA, 565 nt
Filed under: Leptodrepana sp. RK138
Lineage: Eukaryota; Metazoa; Arthropoda; Insecta; Hymenoptera; Braconidae
Description: eukaryotic LSU rRNA
Source: RNAcentral